CAGAAAGAUCACUCUCAGAAGGAUGGCAGUAUCCGUUAGCGAAAUAUGCGAGAACACGAAACUGGCCAGGGAGAUGGCAUUGACCGGUAACUACGAUACCUCUGGUGUCUACUAUCAAGGAGUCGUGCAACAGAUCCACCGUCUGCUGACUGGUAUAGCUGACAACACAAGGAAGGCCAAGUGGCAGACGGCACAACAUCAGAUCGUGCAGGAGUUCGAGAAAGUGAAAGCCACAGCAAAUACUUUGCAGCUAUUUAAGGUUGACGCUCAUGGGGAGAGACUACCAGGUACAACGUGUUUGUCCUUUGAGGAACCUACAAGGGAUCCAGCGCCAUGGUCUUACAAUGGUACAGACGCCUCCUGGAACCAAGGAUCGUCCUUCACCCCCAGAGAUCCAGAUGUCUGGCCUCCAUUAACUCCCAAUGAACAAAAGAACGUGAGACCGGCAAGGAGUCUGCAGCAAUCAAAACAGCAGAACAGGAGCAGUAUAAAGAAAUCCGUGACGAGCGCGCGGAGGACUGAAGCGAACAAAACAAUCGGAAAGAAAGACGAAAGAAAAGGAUCCAGGAAGGACGACGGGAACAAGGAUAAGUCAGAGGUAGAGAAGACGGCGGUGACGGACGCGGAUGCAGAGGAGCGUAAGUUCGAGCCAUCGAGCAACGACCGGGACUUGGUCGAGCUCCUGGAGAGAGACAUCGUGCAGAAGAACCCGAACAUUCAUUGGGACGACAUAGCGGACCUCCACGAGGCGAAACGAUUGCUGGAAGAAGCCGUGGUCCUACCUAUGUGGAUGCCGGAUUUCUUUAAAGGCAUACGUCGCCCUUGGAAAGGGGUGUUGAUGGUGGGCCCGCCAGGUACCGGGAAAACGAUGCUCGCUAAGGCCGUGGCCACGGAAUGCGGUACCACCUUCUUCAACGUCUCUUCUUCCACGUUGACCUCCAAGUACAGGGGAGAGUCCGAGAAGCUCGUCAGACUUCUGUUCGAAAUGGCGAGGUUCUACGCGCCCAGCACGAUAUUCAUCGAUGAGAUCGACUCCCUAUGCUCUCGGAGAGGUUCGGAGUCCGAGCACGAGGCCUCCAGGCGGGUCAAGUCCGAGCUACUCGUCCAGAUGGAUGGAAUCAGCUCAAACAGUGAGGAUCCGAGGAAAGUGGUGAUGGUGUUGGCAGCAACGAACUUCCCCUGGGACAUCGACGAAGCUCUCCGCAGGAGACUGGAGAAACGAAUCUACAUUCCUUUACCGAACCACGAAGGCAGGGAAGCUUUGUUGAGGAUCAAUCUGCGCGAAGUAAAGGUGGAUACAUCCGUAAAUCUCGCCGACAUAGCCAAGAAGCUGGAAGGCUACUCGGGCGCAGACAUCACCAACGUUUGUAGGGACGCGUCGAUGAUGUCGAUGAGAAAGAAGAUCGCGGGCUUGAAACCAGACCAGAUAAGGCAGCUGCCCAAGGAGGAACUGGAUCUACCCGUGUCCGCCGCCGAUUUCGACGAGGCCGUCGAACGGUGCAACAAGAGCGUGUCCCAGGAGGACCUCGAUAAGUACGAGAAGUGGAUGAGCGAAUUCGGUUCUUCCUGAUUUGCCCCACCGUCCGGCAGCAGCUACACUCAAUCUUCAUAACGAAGACGAAAUAUAUAAUCGGACGAUCGCCAACUCUGAUCACGCUAGACGUAUUACAAUUGUCAUUCGAUUAAACGGCUCGAUCCAUCGUACGUUCGCGGCAAUCCUUUCACACUUUUAUAUCGUCGAUAGGAAAAUGGUAAGCCGGUUCAAUCGUCCAGUUCGGGCGCGCAGCCUUCACUCCUCAAUCUACGCGUCUCCUCAUCCACCUUUUUUGAGUCCUUGGGAGCCUUAUAUCGGGCCACAUGAUCGACUCUCACAGUCCUUCCCAGAAUCUGAAAUGGAAGCAGCAAGUACGUAUAUAGAAAUCUUGUCUUCAACUGAAUUUGAUUUCGUACGAAUAUGGAGAACGUUACUUUGACACCGUUGAAAUUGUCGACAGCCAAGACGGUGCUCCUCUGGUCCUCGUAACAAAGAAAUCCAUACCCCUUCUGUUUGCCAGUGUCCUUAUCUCUUAUCAAAUUUAUGUUGACCACCUCUCCAUAUCUGGAAAACCAUCGAAGGCAAAUGGACGUUAUUCAAACGGAGAUUCGCCCCAGGUAUCGUCUCGCUUACUGAGAGAAUAUAGCGAUCACAUCCCCUUCAGUUAAAUCAUAAGGCAGCCCGCCAACGAAGAUCCAAGCACUGUCUUUGUACUGAUCAUGCCACGAACUCUUUGAAUCGUUGGAUAAUUCCUGUUCCCCCAAUUUCUUUAUAUUCUUCACGUUUCUAAACAAUGAGCAACAGGAAGAACAUAAUUUUGUCCGCCCUCCGUUUUGAUUCAUUUACUCACGUCAAAGGGUUCAUUCUGCUGAUUUGCGAGACGGAAGGAACGUUCCCUUUGCAGGAUGUCAAAAGGAAUCAUUCGUUCAUUCAGUUAAUUAGGAGACGCAAUCGGUAUGAUGCAUGUUUGAGGGUUAGAGUUUAAGGAGUGACAUCGAUGUCGAUGUCGAUCACAAUUCACAAUGCGAAUGCACACGCACGUGUAACUGGAGUUUGACUGUUCCUCAACGCGCGGCGCUGGAAUCGAAAUCCACCAAGCAGCCAUUUUGUAAUUUAUGUACGACAAUGGCGACUUGUCUUCGCGGUCAGAGUCUUUAUAAUAAAAUAAAGGAGCGGUAUUUACUGUUA
This is an RNA transcript of Ceratina calcarata, 2722 nucleotides long. It is a transcript of the gene named katanin p60, with no coding region annotated. The transcript has 9 exons. The record is from RefSeq and is a predicted model, not a curated record. NCBI's taxonomy places the organism in Eukaryota, Metazoa, Arthropoda, Insecta, Hymenoptera, Apidae.